This 407-nucleotide ribosomal RNA is filed under the name uncultured bacterium. Its description in RNAcentral is "bacterial SSU rRNA". It matches the Rfam family "Bacterial small subunit ribosomal RNA", at positions 355 to 776 of the family's 1533-position model. The record is from RNAcentral.
UGGGGAAUAUUGCACAAUGGGGGAAACCCUGAUGCAGCGACGCCGCGUGAGUGAAGAAGUAUUUCGGUAUGUAAAGCUCUAUCAGCAGGGAAGAAAACAAUGACGGUACCUGACUAAGAAGCCCCGGCUAACUACGUGCCAGCAGCCGCGGUAAUACGUAGGGGGCAAGCGUUAUCCGGAUUUACUGGGUGUAAAGGGAGCGUAGACGGCAUGGCAAGUCUGAAGUGAAAGGCCAGGGCUCAACCCUGGGACUGCUUUGGAAACUGUCAGGCUGGAGUGCAGGAGAGGUAAGUGGAAUUCCUAGUGUAGCGGUGAAAUGCGUAGAUAUUAGGAGGAACACCAGUGGCGAAGGCGGCUUACUGGACUGUAACUGACGUUGAGGCUCGAAAGCGUGGGGAGCAAACAGG